GAAAGGUACGUCUAUGUAUAUAUAUAUAUUUAUUAUAUUAAUAAAUUUAGAAACCUAUUUUUUUUUAUAAUUUCAGCAAAUUUCUGAGAUAAAUACCGCGAACCGAGUGAAUCAAAUGACACAUCACGCUGGUUCAAAAGGAUUAGCGCAACGACGUCAUGAAUUGGUAAUUUAUUUAUAAUUUGUAUCUAUUUUUUUUUAUAUAUUAAUGAAUUAUGUGAAUAUAGAUGCAACAAGGAAGGAGUGAAGUCGAAGUUUGGUCAGAGACUUUACAAAUGACAUAUAAAGGAAGCG
RNAcentral lists this long non-coding RNA (294 nucleotides) under Zostera marina. RNAcentral describes it as "long non-coding RNA (ZMAR_LNC005006)". Lineage: Eukaryota; Viridiplantae; Streptophyta; Magnoliopsida; Alismatales; Zosteraceae. The record is from RNAcentral.